GGGAUGAGCUGUGGAUAGGAGUGAAAGGCUAAUCAAACCCGGAGAUAGCUGGUUCUCUUCGAAAACUAUUUAGGUAGUGCCUCAUGUAUUACCAUUGGGGGUAGAGCACUGUUUCGGCUAGGGGGUCAUCCCGACUUACCAAACCGAUGCAAACUCCGAAUACCAAUGAGUAUGAGCAUGGGAGACAGACUGCGGGUGCUAACGUCCGUAGUCGAGAGGGAAACAACCCAGACCGUCAGCUAAGGUCCCAAAUUAUGAUUAAGUGGGAAACAAUGUGGGAAGGCACAAACAGCUAGGAGGUUGGCUUAGAAGCAGCCAUCCUUUAAAGAAAGCGUAAUAGCUCACUAGUCGAGUCGGCCUGCGUGGAAGAUAUAACGGGGCUAAAUCAUAAACCGAAGCUACGGAUCUUAAAUUUAUUUAAGAUGGUAGAAGAGCGUUCUGUAAGCGGCUGAAGGCGUGCUGUGAGGCAUGCUGGACGUAUCAGAAGUGCGAAUGUUGACAUGAGUAACGAUCAAAGAGGUGAAAAACCUCUUCGCCGAAAAUCCAAGGUUUCCUGUCCAACGCUAAUCGUGGCAGGGUGAGUCGGCUCCUAAGGCGAGGGCGAAAGCCGUAGUCGAUGGAAAACAGGUUAAUAUUCCUGUACUUCUUAUAAUUGCGAUGGGGUGACGGAGAAGGUUAGGCUAGCACGGCGAUGGUUGUCCGUGUUUAAGGUUGUAGACUUAGAUCUUAGGUAAAUCCGGGAUCUUUUAAGGUUGAGAACUGAUGACGACCACUCUUUGAGUGGGAAGUAGUUUAUACCAUGCUUCCAGGAAAAACCUCUAAGCUUCAGAUUAUAAGGAACCGUACCCUAAACCGACACAGGUGGAUAAGUCGAGAAGACUAAGGUGUUUGAGAGAACUAUGGUGAAGGAACUAGGCAAAAUGGUACCGUAACUUCGGGAGAAGGUACGCCGCCAUUGGUGAUAAGACUUGCUCUUUAAGCUGAUGGUGGUCGAAGAAACUAGGUGGCUGCAACUGUUUAUUAAAAACAUAGCACUCUGCAAAAUCGUAAGAUGACGUAUAGGGUGUGACGCCUGCCCGGUGCCGGAAGGUUAAUUGAUGGGGUUAGCUUAGGCGAAGCUCCUGAUCGAAGCCCCGGUAAACGGCGGCCGUAACUAUAACGGUCCUAAGGUAGCGAAAUUCCUUGUCGGGUAAGUUCCGACCUGCACGAAUGGCGUAAUGAUGGCCACACUGUCUCCACCAUAGACUCAGUGAAAUUGAAAUCGCUGUUAAGAUGCAGUGUACCCGCAGCUAGACGGAAAGACCCCGUGCACCUUUACUAUAGGUUCACACUGGACUUUGACUUUAUUUGUGUAGGAUAGGUGGGAGACUUUGAAGCCGAGACGCUAGUCUUGGUGGAGUCGUCCUUGAAAUACCACCCUUGUAAAGUUGAGGCUCUAACUCAGGUCCGUAAUCCGGAUCGAGG
Molecule: ribosomal RNA, 1464 nt
Filed under: marine metagenome
Description: bacterial LSU rRNA
Rfam family: Bacterial large subunit ribosomal RNA
Source: RNAcentral